GGGGAAGUCCGGUGAGACUCCGGCGCUGACCCGCAACGGUAUGCACGCCCCCCUGUCCGGCUUUCCGGCCGCGAUUUCGGGCGUGCGAGCCCGAUUACCC
This 100-nucleotide non-coding RNA is filed under the name Streptomyces sp. Lineage: Bacteria; Bacillati; Actinomycetota; Actinomycetes; Kitasatosporales; Streptomycetaceae. The record is from RNAcentral.